RNAcentral lists this transfer RNA (74 nucleotides) under Candidatus Pacearchaeota archaeon CG10_big_fil_rev_8_21_14_0_10_34_76. Its description in RNAcentral is "tRNA-Ile". It matches the Rfam family "tRNA". Rfam says of the family: Transfer RNA (tRNA) molecules are approximately 80 nucleotides in length. Their secondary structure includes four short double-helical elements and three loops (D, anti-codon, and T loops). The record is from RNAcentral. Lineage: Archaea; Nanobdellati.
GAUCGCGUAGCUCAGUCUGGUAGAGCAUUGCUCUGAUAAGGCAGGGGUCCCCGGUUCAAAUCCGGGCGCGAUCA